This 50-nucleotide microRNA precursor is filed under the name Oreochromis niloticus (Nile tilapia). Its description in RNAcentral is "microRNA oni-mir-10699 precursor". Lineage: Eukaryota; Metazoa; Chordata; Actinopteri; Cichliformes; Cichlidae. The record is from miRBase by way of RNAcentral.
CAGGAGACAUGACAAAAAACUGUCCCAAAUUGUUUGUCAUGUCUCCUGUU